Molecule: ribosomal RNA, 742 nt
Filed under: Pertusaria werneriana
Lineage: Eukaryota; Fungi; Ascomycota; Lecanoromycetes; Pertusariales; Pertusariaceae
Description: SSU rRNA
Rfam family: Bacterial small subunit ribosomal RNA
Source: RNAcentral
GAAUGUAUAUCGACUCUGUCGAAUAAAGUUCUAGUUAAGUUAUGAUAAUGACAUUUCUUAACUAUGUGUCUUGACCAAAUCACGUGCCAGCAGUCGCGGUAAUACGUGGAAGACUAGUGUUAUUCAUCUUUAACAGGUUUAAAGGGUACCUAGACGGUAAAUCAAGCCCCGAAAGGGUACUAAUUUACUAGAGUUUAAUAAGAGAGGGGGAGUACUGAUGAGUGGAGAGAUGAAAUUUUAUGAUACCAUUAGGAACAGACAAAGGCGAAAGCGACCUUUUACAUAAAAACUGACGUUGAGGGACGAAGGCUUUAGUCGUGAACAGGAUUAGAUACCCAAGUAAUUAAAGCAGACAAUGAUGAAUGUCAUAGAUUAGUGAGUCGUAUUAAUCUAUAAAUGAAAGUGUAAGCAUUCCACCUCAAGAGUAAUGUGGCAACGCAGAAACUGAAAUCAUUAGACCGUUUCUGAAACCAGUAGUGAAGUAUGUUGUUUAAUUAGAUAAUCCGCAAAAGACCUCACCACAAUUUGAAUAUUAUUACUAAUACAAGCGUUGCACGGCUGUCUUCAGUUAAUGUCGUGAGAUUAGGUUAGUUCCAUUAAAUUAACGUAAACCCUUGCUUUAUUUAUAUUAUAAAGUAGAUCACCGCUAUAUUGGAUGUGAUAAUAGGGACUAAGACAAGUCAUCAUGGCCUAAAUAUUGUGGGCGAUAGACGUGCCACAUAAUCGGAGACAAAGGGAUGCG